UCGAUGCCUCCAACCCCCAACCUCCUCCCUGGCUCCCGGCGCCGCCCGCCCCUAUCUCCUCCUCGAUCCCAGCACCGCCCGCCCCCAUCUCCUCCCCGAUCCCAGCGCCGCCCGCCCCCAUCUCCUCCCUCACUCCCGGUGCUGACCCCGCCCCCACCUUCUCCCUCACUCCAUAGCCCGCGCCCGCAUUCUUCCUCCCCCAUCUCGUCUCAUCUCCAGUCGCUGUAGAGGAUCCCCGUUUUGUGCCGCCACCAUGGUUGGCCUGCAGCGAGUAGCAGAGGACCUAGCCGCCGCGUCCGACCUCAACUGUCGCCCGAAACCCUAGCCCCUCCUUCCAACGCCAGGCCCGACUCAUCUCUGCUUGUGCACAACAAGGAAGGCCACGGAGACGCUGCUCCCUAUGUUCAGCGCGUGGACGAACGAUGCAGCGUUGGGGAUGACUCAUGGAUGCCUCUGUUUGUGCAGAUUGGGUACUCUGGAGCACAUGGGAGGAGGAGAAGGAUGGGAGGUGUGUAGAAUUCGGCGCCAAGGGAGACGAUCGAGAUGGUGGAGCAGAAUCCAGAGGACGACGGGAGACCAGGUGUUCUGGCCCAACUUCUUAUUUUCCUUCUUUGUGGUCUGUCUGCUGCAGUGAGCGGGGGAUUGCUAACUUUGUGAUUGCCGCACAGGUAACCUGCUGAGCCGACACCGAUGCCAAGUGUGGCAAUGCCUCUUCCGAUGAUUGGGAGGGCGAGUUCUUCCUGGGCUUUACCAAAAUCAACUAUGAGCAAGAGGAUGCUUUCUUACAAGUGGUAUAACGCGGAGGAAGUGAUUCUUGUAAAGAAAAUGUUAGGUUGCGGUUCAGUGUGGCAUUCUGGCAUAUGUUUCGGGGUACUGGAGGAGAUCCUUUUGGUGCACCUACAAAGAACCGGCCUUGGGAGGAUGGCACAAAUUCCCUGGCCAUGGCUAAGAGAAGAAGUAUGGGAAUUACCUGAUCUUUUGUCUUAGGUCCAUGGUUGGAGUCAACAACUUAUGCUUCGAUUUCUGUUUCGGUGAUAUCUCAAUUCGAGUUCAUGAAGAAGCUUGGAGUUGACAGGUGGUGCUUCCAUGAGAGGGACAUCGCCCCUGAUGGGAAAACACUCGCGGUAUGAUUUUAUUAGAAUGAUUCUUGAAUUUGCAAGUUGCAACCUUGAGUUAGGGGAAUUGAGACGGGUAGCGACCGACAUUAGAGCAGGUUUAUUAUGAUUGUAUUUACAAGGGUACAUGACUAUGUUUUCAGCACAAGGAAUAUGGUUGUUGAUGGUUUAUGCCCUGGCUGUGCCCACAUCGUCCCGACACCAAGUUCGAGACCAAGUUCUAACCCCUGUACCCAAUCUACCUCCAUGGAUCUUGUCUCUCACUAACCAAGAGCAUCAAUUCAACUCAACAGAUUGACAGAAGAGAUGAACCUAGAGUUUGAGGCUUGGGUAGUGUGGACAUUGACCUGAUGAUGAGUGUUGUAUGGUGGUCAAGUGGUGCCACUUCCCCUCGCCACACGCUGCUUAGUCUGCUCAUUGAAGGUGCUCUCUGUUGGUGUUUGGCUGCUGCUGCUGCUGUAGGUCAAGGCAUUUACGUAGCAUCUUCUUGCAAUGGAUUUUGUUUUAUGGCUAUAUACAAAUUAUUUUGGUAUAGAUUUGUGAUUUUUGUUCCGUCCACCUAACCCAGUAUAUAGUAGCAGCUUUUGAUGUCCUUUCCUCACCGGUGAAUGUAAAAAUUUAUCAUGUGUGCAAUUUUUUUACUGUAGUACGAAUAGUUGUAACAUAUUCUCUUUAGCCUUGCAGCUCAUAGCAUCCGCUUGAUUCAGUGAGUUUGAUUCAGCUGUACAAGUUAGGAAUCCAAAGAAGUUGGCUCAGAAUAGAUAAAUAUGUGUCCACAGAUUAUUCAUAGUAAUUUGGUUACUUAAAUGCCUAGGAUUAGAUGCAUAAUAUUGCGUGAGCACGACAGGACAAUUUUGUAAAAAAAAAUGAUCUGACCUGAAGCCUAUAUGCCAUUUAAGCACUGAUUUUUUUUCUAACUUCAGAAACCUAGAGUUGUUUCCUGCUCUCCAAUAUGCUUUGUCAUCAAAUUUGUGUAUUUAAAUCUGGAACAGCAGAACUAUGAGAAUUCAGAUAAAUAAGAAUUGUUCAUGUUUUACCAACGGGGCAUGCGAUGAUUACUUCGGUGGAGACAUAUUUAAGAAUGGUGUUGAUCACUGAAUGCCCUUGAUGUAUGCCAAGGUAAAAUACUGGAAAAAAACAUUUUCUUUAUCCUGCAGGAACAAGCCAGUAGUUAUAGGAAUUUAUCUUUAUUUCUUGAUAUAUGCAGACAACGAUGUUCACUUAGGUAGUUUUGGAAUAAUUAUCUUUCGUGCUUACUGCAAGGUAGAAAUAUGGUUGACGAUACACACCCAUUGGCAAAGUUUGAACCAGAGACAGUUACCUAAAACCAUUGCUUCACACCGAGCCGACCUACUUCUCAAAACUUUUUCAAUUUCAGUUUACUGAAUAAUUUUUUCUUGCUGAAACUAGAAGAAGGGAGCAAGCGGCAGAAGAUUAUGAUGUUGCUGCUAUUGGGAGACGCAGUAAAAUAUGGACAAGUUCCUGUAUUUUAUGGAAGGUGUAGUAUUGAAGCUUCUUGCACUGAUCUAGAAUGGAUCUUGACUUAGCCCAAGAGUGAGGUAUAUUGAUAUUAAUGGCACAUAAUUACAUACUGAUAGGAGAACUGGUUGCGGUUUGUCAUUAUUUCCUUGCAUCUACAGGUAGCUCAUCUACUUUUGGUUCAUGCAAUGAAUAUUUCGUGUCUACAGUUUGUCGUGUGCACCUACAUAUCAAGAAAUAUUUUAUUGGUGCAAAUUGAUAUUUGAAUUUUAAAUAGGGACGUCAACUUCAAAAAAGCAUUAGCAGGCUUGUUAAAUGCAUGAAGUAUUGAUCAUGAGCUAAUGAGCUAUGUUAAACAGAGUAGCUUAGAAGGAUGCCCAGAACUCACCCAUUUCAGUUGAGGACAUGCAAUCUAAGCCUUCCAUGGUUCUGUUAGAUGGUUUUUUUUAGUUUCUAUGGUUGUGUAUAGAUAAUUUGGUUUAAGCACUAAUAUGUUCAGGUUAUAGUUUUUGAGCAUCUGAUUACUAUUCCUAUUAUAUAUAUUUAUGUGCUUUUCCAUGAUUUUUCUACUUGGUAGACAAGGGCCUGAAAUGCAGCUCGGCCCAUUAUUUGUUAUCAGACAUCAUGCUUGGUUAUUCACAGUAGAGUGCUCCAAAAAUUCUUUUGAUUCCUUAGUGGUACCUAAAUUAAAUAAAAUCUACUGUUCCAUAUUUUUACUCUUCAAAUCAUUAACGUUUAAUCUUCCAUAUUGACGACAGAAAUAAAUUUUAUCCGCUUGAUUUAUGAAGUGCACGGUCUGUCAGCAUAUUCUGUAGGUCUUUCAGAUGUGAAAGCGCAUGUUACCUAAGAAAUCAUUAUCUCUCAAGCAUACUCACAUUGGACCAAGAACUAGGCGAGGUUCAGACUUCAGAGAAAUGAUAACAAGUCUCCUUUUCAUUCGAGCGGGGCGAUGAGGGAAAGAACUGGUUGUGGUGAAAGUCAGUUUAGUGCAUCAAGGAUUGGAAGUUCUGAGAUUUGCAAGAGGUGAUGGAGGAUGUUUAGUUACUUUGGCUCAUGAUAUAGUACUGGAAGAUGAGUACAAGCAUAAGCUUAUUCAAAAUCUGAAGUUCCUGACUACACGAGACAUGUACUACCUCUGUUCCUACAUAUAAUUCCUUUUAGAGAUUCCACUAUAGAGACUAGAUUCAGAUGUAUAUAGACGCCUUUUAGAGUAUAUGUUCGCUCAUUUUGCUCUGUAUGUAGUCUAUAGUGAAAUCUCCAAAAAGACUUAUAUUUAGGAACGGAGGGAGUAUUUUGUAAUUUUUUUCUUUUUCUUGUUUUUCAUUUUCUUCUACUUAUUUUCAAUUUGAACGAACGGAGGGAACAACAUGAAGAUGGGUAGCACUAUACAGUUUUAUAGCAGUAACAUUUUCCAAGCUUCUUAAAUUUGGUAUCUAUGAAUAGUUGAUUUGUUCGUUUUGAUUUAUAGCCUUGUAGAUGUUCACCUCUCUACCAGAUUUCCAUAAUGGAAUGUCGUCCGGUGUAUUCGAUGGGCAGCUCAGCUUGCACGUGAAUUGGACAUGGCAAAGCUUAUCUUGGAGCAGACUCAAAAACAGUGGCGGCUAAAUUAAGAAGCUCGGAAAUUGAUAGAUCAGUCUAUGGCCUAUUGCUGAGGAGGUAAAGGAGUGCAUGCGAUCAAGAGAGGAGUUUCAGGGUGGCAUGGGUGAGAUGCUUGACUAAUGGAGCUUCUCUUGGGCUAACUAAAGAGGAUUGUGCGAAUAAGUUAUGUGAAACUUGGGCCAGGUACAUAUCAGAUUGUAUUUGUGAUGUUUUUGGUCUCGGAUCGUGCUGAAAUGAAUGAAUAAAACAA
Triticum urartu is the source of this 4443-nucleotide non-coding RNA. The record is from RefSeq and is a predicted model, not a curated record. NCBI's taxonomy places the organism in Eukaryota, Viridiplantae, Streptophyta, Magnoliopsida, Poales, Poaceae.